AACGCGAAGGACCUUACCAGGUCUUGACAUCCCUUGCUAAUCCUAGAAAUAGGACGUUCCCUUCGGGGACAAGGUGACAGGUGGUGCAUGGUUGUCGUCAGCUCGUGUCGUGAGAUGUUGGGUUAAGUCCCGCAACGAGCGCAACCCUUAUUAUUAGUUGCCAGCAUUUAGUUGGGCACUCUAGUGAGACUGCCGGUGACAAACCGGAGGAAGGUGGGGAUGACGUCAAAUCAUCAUGCCCCUUAUGACCUGGGCUACACACGUGCUACAAUGGCAUAUACAACGAGUCGCCAACCCGCGAGGGUGCGCUAAUCUCUUAAAGUAUGUCUCAGUUCGGAUUGUAGGCUGCAACUCGCCUACAUGAAGUCGGAAUCGCUAGUAAUCGCGGAUCAGCACGCCGCGGUGAAUACGUUCCCGGGUCUUGUACACACCGA
This 434-nucleotide ribosomal RNA is filed under the name uncultured Weissella sp. RNAcentral describes it as "bacterial SSU rRNA". It matches the Rfam family "Bacterial small subunit ribosomal RNA", at positions 958 to 1393 of the family's 1533-position model. Lineage: Bacteria; Bacillati; Bacillota; Bacilli; Lactobacillales; Lactobacillaceae. The record is from RNAcentral.